GCUCAUUUUGAGUCCAGAUGGUGACAUGACGGGCAAGUGGGUGCAUGUGGUAUGGUAGUCAUGGCAACACAAGAGAUAUUGGACAAACCUUAUGGUUUUAUUGGAGUACAUGUUGGUGUUGGUAAAUACUCCUCUACAAAUGAAGCUGACUACAAAGAUGCUUGUAGGACAGCAUGUUUACAAGCAGUGGCUGCUCUUAAAGAAGGUAAAUUAGCAGUAGAAGCAGUUGCUGUUGCUCUUUCUGCUCUAGAGGAUGCUCCUUGCCCAAAUGCAGGUGUUGGCUCCAACCUAAAUCUUGAAGGAGAGGUUGAAUGUGAUGCUAGCAUCAUGGAUGGCAAAUCAUUGGGGUUUGGUGCAGUUGGUGCAGUGAAGGGGAUUAAAAACCCAAGUCAAGUUGCUGCCCAUCUUCUGAAAAAAGAACUCCAAGGACCAACAAGUGUUGGUCUCAUUCCACCAAUAUUUCUAGUAGGGGAUGGUGCAGUUCGCUGGGCAAACCAAAAUUCUGUUGCAGAAAGUGUGUCAAAUGAAUCUCUCAUAACUGAUAAAAGUCUUGCAGCAUAUAACAAAAGUAAGGCCAAACUAGACAGGACUAGACUGAACACAGUUAUACAUAACUCUCACAAGAAACGAAGAAUUGAAGACUUGUGUGUUUAUGAAGAUUCAUACAUGGAUACUGUAGGCGUGGUGUGCGUGGAUUCGGAAGGGAAUCUCUGUGCAGGUGUUUCUAGUGGUGGAUUGUUACUUAAGACCCCUGGGAGAGUCGGGCAGGCAGCCGUGUAUGGUAGUGGUUGUUGGGCCAGGAACAAAACUGAAGAGAGUGAUGUUGGUGUAGCUUGCUGUACGACAGGGUGUGGUGAAUAUCUAAUCAAGACUAUACUCGCUAAGGAAUGCGCAGAAAUGGCUUCAAACAGUGCUACUCAAUCACNAGUGGAAUUGACAGCGGGAGAAAAGAUGGAUAUUCAGCCGUGAAAGAUGCUUUACAACAGAAAUUUUUUGAUGCGCCGCAUUUGCUUUCAAAUAAGCAGAAAAUAGCUGGGAUUUUACUACUCAGGGCAAUGGAAUCAAGCCAAGGUCGCGAGGUGGAGCUUGUUUGGGGUCAUAAUGCCUCUAGUAUGUGCUUGGGGUACAUGUCUAC
RNAcentral lists this unclassified non-coding RNA (1135 nucleotides) under Actinia tenebrosa (Australian red waratah sea anemone). RNAcentral describes it as "threonine aspartase 1-like, transcript variant X2". The record is from RNAcentral. Lineage: Eukaryota; Metazoa; Cnidaria; Anthozoa; Actiniaria; Actiniidae.